CUCAUUUAGAGGCUCAAGCAGAUUCAGUAAAAUGUAAGUGGGUUUGAAAAAAAAGGAUCAAAACUUAAAAAUAAAAAGAAAUACUUGCAGGUACGUGAGCAGAGACGGAAGUUGAGAGGAUGAAGGGAAAACACAAAGAAACAUCUGUGACAUCAUUUUUCUUGCUGAAGGUCUCUGAUGGACUAGAGGCGCCAGAGUUCUGCUCCCCUCCCCCGAGAGCGCUGGGUCUCAGGAGUGCUGGAGGUGUGCGAGGUCCAACUGUGCAAGGGUAGCACAUCCCACAGUGAUCUGGGACUUCCAACAUCAAUCAUCAGUCAAGAAAAUUCCCUACAGACCAAGCUGAAAGGAAGUGUUUUUUCUUAUUAUUGCUUUCAAACAUAUGAUUAAGUGAAAUAAAAUUAAAAAGAUGUUUUCCCUGUUUUCCCUCUUUCUUUCCGGAACUCCGAAUAAGUGCCGCCUCCCUUUAGCCCUCAAAUAUCAUUCUUCCUGAUAAUUGAGAGACUUUAUUCUUUUGGUUUAAUUAUUAUUCGUGUGUGUGUGUGUGUGUGUGUGUGUGUGUACACAUAUAUACUUACAACCU
This is a long non-coding RNA of Rattus norvegicus (Norway rat), 580 nucleotides long. The record is from Ensembl. NCBI's taxonomy places the organism in Eukaryota, Metazoa, Chordata, Mammalia, Rodentia, Muridae.